Molecule: long non-coding RNA, 372 nt
Organism: Daphnia pulicaria
Lineage: Eukaryota; Metazoa; Arthropoda; Branchiopoda; Diplostraca; Daphniidae
Exons: 4
Source: RefSeq, a predicted model, not a curated record
CAGUGCCACCACCCUCCGCCUCCGCCAUUGUUUGGGCUCUGCUGCUAAGUCGAAACAUGUUUCAAAAGAUUAAAGGCGCUUAAUGGCCAAGCCUAUCGCUUGUGCCAACAAAUCUUUCUGUGAGACUCCACUUGCAAAAUAUCCCCUGUAGGCCUACUGCUGUACCCAUCAUCCUACAGUCACAAAGAUAUUGGAUGUGGAGUGAGUCAUUGUUAUUAACACUGCCUUAUUUGGAUCCAUCACAGUCAUCAGCGAAGGUGUUUCUGGAUUUGGAAAGCCUAAACUCAAUAUUCAGAAUUUUCUUCUGGGGUGACAACAAUAGCUUACACCUUGGGAAGCUGUUCAUCGUCCGAGCGAUCCCUCUUCCCAAAU